RNAcentral lists this ribosomal RNA (407 nucleotides) under uncultured Diversispora. Its description in RNAcentral is "partial 28S ribosomal RNA". The record is from RNAcentral. Lineage: Eukaryota; Fungi; Glomeromycota; Glomeromycetes; Diversisporales; Diversisporaceae.
GAGAGUUAAAUAGUACGUGAAAUUGUUGAAAGGGAAACGAUUGAAGUCAGUCAUGCUAGUGAAAAAUCAGUUUGACGGGUUUUGAGUUCGGGAGUAGAGGCAGGGUCAAACCGUUUCUCUUUUGAACUUGGGAUUUGUUAGAUGUACUUUUUCUUUGGCAGGUCAGCGUCGAUUUCGGAGGUUGUAAAAUACUUGGGGGAAAGUAACUCUGCUUCGGGAGAGUAUUAUAGACCCUGAGGGAUGCAGCCUGCGGGAUCGAGGAUUGCAGCAAAUGCCUUUGGCUUGUCGCCUAUCUCUGGUCGUUACCUCUCUUGUGACAACAUUCUUGCCACCGGAGAGUACUAAUGCCCAUUACUUAGAGCGAUCAAAAAUUUUGCUAAGGAUGCUGACGUAAUGGCUUUAAACGA